Molecule: ribosomal RNA, 569 nt
Filed under: Lactobacillus sp.
Lineage: Bacteria; Bacillati; Bacillota; Bacilli; Lactobacillales; Lactobacillaceae
Description: bacterial SSU rRNA
Rfam family: Bacterial small subunit ribosomal RNA
Source: RNAcentral
AUCUUCACAAUGGACGAAAGUCUGAUGGAGCAACGCCGCGUGAGUGAAGAAGGGUUUCGGAUCGUAAAACUCUGUUGUUGAAGAAGAACGAACGUGAGAGUAACUGUUCACGUUGUGACGGUAUCCAACCAGAAAGCCACGGCUAACUACGUGCCAGCAGCCGCGGUAAUACGUAGGUGGCAAGCGUUAUCCGGAUUUAUUGGGCGUAAAGAGAGUGCAGGCGGUUUGUUAAGUCUGAUGUGAAAGCCUUCGGCUCAACCGAAGAAGUGCAUUGGAAACUGAUAAACUUGAGUGCAGAAAAGGAGAGUGGAACUCCAUGUGUAGCGGUGAAAUGCGUAGAUAUAUGGAAGAACACCAGUGGCGAAGGCGGCUCUCUGGUCUGUAACUGACGCUGAGACUCGAAAGCAUGGGUAGCAAACAGGAUUAGAUACCCUGGUAGUCCAUGCCGUAAACGAUGAAUGCUAAGUGUUGGAGGGUUUCCGCCCUUCAGUGCUGCAGCUAACGCAUUAAGCACUCCGCCUGGGGAGUACGACCGCAAGGUUGAAACUCAAAGGAAUUGACGGGGGCCC